AAUAGACUCCCUCCUGUUCUUAAGAACCUAUUAAAUUUGAGGUAUACCUGGACCUCACUCAUUCCUCUCCCUUCCCAUCCUCCUGAAUCUUAUGUUUGGCCUAAAGAAAGAAUCAUGGUAAAACAUCCAAAACCCUCAAGACUGGCCGAGGGAACACAGGAAGAUUGCUGAAUUCCUGGUGAUAUUAUGGUUCCUGAGUCUUCUGCCGUGCUUCUUUGCUCCAAUUGGUAUCAUCCCAAUAUAUGUGUAUUCACUUGCGCUUUAUGGGUUUAUGCACUUCUUUCUUAUCAACCCCCCAAAAAACUUUCUACUAUAAAUCCAGAUUUUGGUUGUUUAAACUUCUGAACCAGAAUUUUGCAACAGAAAUACAUACAGAGUGCAAGCCACUGUUCAGUGCAUUCCUGCUUGGCUUCGCUUCAUCCAGUGCCUGUGCUGGUACCGUGACAAAAGAAGAGCCUUUCCUCUUCCAGUAAAUGCUGCCUGGCAAAUACUCUACAACUUUCUUCACCCUGACAUUUCCAGCCCUUUACAACACUCACAAAGACCCAGUUUUUGCCACUGACUGUUGCAUGUGGAGUUGAAAGAAGAUGUGCAGUGGAGCAGCAAUACACAGUGUCAUGCAGAUAGAAUGUAUGCAACCUGGGAAGGGUAGAGAACAACACAGUUUAUACCAGGAAGAAGUGAUAAAUUCCAAUACCAGCGUACAUGAAGAAAGUCCAUAAGUAGUGAGAAAGAUCAUUCCUGAAGUUCUUCAAUAAUCGUUUCCUUUUAUGUUUAGGUGCUGAGGACAAAGAGAAGACACACAGAAGGACUGAGACAGAAGGUCUGAACUGGAAGGACAGAGACAGAUGGACUGGGCUCGAUAGUGGCUGAGCUGAAAAAUCCGGUUUGAGAUAAGGAGAACUGAGCUAAGUAGAGCUGAUACAAAAAGAUCUGGGCUGAGAAGAAAUGUAGAGAGGAAUAACUUAUGUAACAUAAGAGAGCAAUCAGCAGAAUGCAGAAGAAAAGAGGAAAAAAGAAGAAGCUGGAAAGAAAAGAAGGUGCAGGCAGGUUUGUCCUUACCAUGGGACAGAAAAGGUCAUUUCUUAGUACUAAUGGAGGCUUAGUCUUGUUAAAAGGAAGAAGUCUUUUCUCUUACAAACUUGGUAUGAAUAAACUUAGCAUUAAAAGGGUAGAAGCGAUUUCUUUCUCUCUGAAAUAAAGAUUGGAGUCCAUCUUUCUGCACUGGUCCUUGGUCUUUUGCUCAAUAUGCAUAUGUAAGUAUGGAUGUCUGUGUAAGUAUGUAAUUAUGAGUUUUUGUGUGUAAGAAUGUAAUUGUGAGAUUGCAUGUA
Rattus norvegicus (Norway rat) is the source of this 1331-nucleotide non-coding RNA. The record is from RefSeq and is a predicted model, not a curated record. Lineage: Eukaryota; Metazoa; Chordata; Mammalia; Rodentia; Muridae.